Molecule: non-coding RNA, 47 nt
Organism: Trichobilharzia regenti
Lineage: Eukaryota; Metazoa; Platyhelminthes; Trematoda; Strigeidida; Schistosomatidae
Source: Rfam
AUCCACCAAUGACGAGUCCCAAAUAGGACGAAAUGCGCAUCCUGGAU